CCAGCGAUCAAUUCCACCCGCACUUCGCAACUCCGUAACUCCACCUCAAUCACAGCGAUUUCCACCAGGGAUGGCCGAUGGGAUCAUUCGAAUCAUUGAACCCAUAUUUUAAAUUGCAGAAAGUAGCAGUGAGUUAUGAUGGGAUGAAAUAAAAUAUAUACGGGUUCCAUUAUCCAGUGAUACAAUCAUUGGUAGCUGCAAAUUCUUCUUCUGUUUUUGUUCAAGCUCCAUCAGAGAAUGGUGUUUCUGCUGCUGUGUCGAAAACUG
Long non-coding RNA from Cynara cardunculus var. scolymus (artichoke), 267 nucleotides. RefSeq lists it as uncharacterized. NCBI's taxonomy places the organism in Eukaryota, Viridiplantae, Streptophyta, Magnoliopsida, Asterales, Asteraceae. The record is from RefSeq and is a predicted model, not a curated record. The transcript has 3 exons.